This 72-nucleotide transfer RNA is filed under the name Neotrygon kuhlii (spotted stingray). RNAcentral's name for it is "tRNA-Thr". It matches the Rfam family "tRNA". From Rfam's summary of the family: Transfer RNA (tRNA) molecules are approximately 80 nucleotides in length. Lineage: Eukaryota; Metazoa; Chordata; Chondrichthyes; Myliobatiformes; Dasyatidae. The record is from RNAcentral.
GCCCUAGUAGCCUAACAUUAAGGCAUCGGUCUUGUAAACCGAAGAUCAGAGGUGAAAAUCCCCUCUAGAGCA